RNAcentral lists this ribosomal RNA (465 nucleotides) under uncultured bacterium. RNAcentral's name for it is "partial 16S ribosomal RNA". It matches the Rfam family "Bacterial small subunit ribosomal RNA", at positions 331 to 792 of the family's 1533-position model. The record is from RNAcentral.
CCAGACUCCUACGGGAGGCAGCAGUGAGGAAUAUUGGUCAAUGGGCGGAAGCCUGAACCAGCCAAGUCGCGUGAGGGAAGAAGGCCCUGCGGGUCGCAGACCUCUUUGGACGGGGAGCAAGGCCGCCGACGUGUCGGCGGAAGGAGAGUACCCGUAGAACAAGCAUCGGCUAACUCCGUGCCAGCAGCCGCGGUAAUACGGAGGAUGCGAGCGUUAUCCGGAUUUACUGGGUGUAAAGGGCGUGUAGCCGGGCCGACAAGUCAGAUGUGAAAUCCGGGGGCUCAACCCCUGAACUGCAUUUGAAACUGUUGGUCUUGAGUAUCGGAGAGGCAGGCGGAAUUCCUAGUGUAGCGGUGAAAUGCGUAGAUAUUAGGAGGAACACCAGUGGCGAAGGCGGCCUGCUGGACGACAACUGACGGUGAGGCGCGAAAGCGUGGGGAGCAAACAGGAUUAGAUACCCUGGUA